Molecule: ribosomal RNA, 232 nt
Filed under: uncultured bacterium
Lineage: Bacteria
Description: partial 16S ribosomal RNA
Rfam family: Bacterial small subunit ribosomal RNA
Source: RNAcentral
GAUCCUGGCUCAGGACGAACGCUGGCGGCGCGCCUAACACAUGCAAGUCGAACGAGCGAGAGAGAGCUUGCUUUCUCGAGCGAGUGGCGAACGGGUGAGUAACGCGUGAGGAACCUGCCUCAAAGAGGGGGACAACAGUUGGAAACGACUGCUAAUACCGCAUAACCCGAUAGGAUCGCAUGAUCCAGACGGAAAAGAUUUAUCGGUGUGAGAUGGACCCGCGUCUGAUUAG